AAUACAUGCAAGUCGAGCGUGACAGAAGGGAGCUGUGCUCCCGUGAUGUUAGCGGCGGCACGGGUGAGUAACACGUGGGUAACCUGCCUGUAAGACUGGGAUAACUCCGGGAAACCGGAGCUAAUACCGGAUAGUUCCUUGAACCGCAUGGUUCAAGGAUGAAAGACGGUUUCGGCUGUCACUUACAGAUGGACCCGCGGCGCAUUAGCUAGUUGGUGGGGUAAUGGCUCACCAAGGCGACGAUGCGUAGCCGACCUGAGAGGGUGAUCGGCCACACUGGGACUGAGACACGGCCCAGACUCCUACGGGAGGCAGCAGUAGGGAAUCUUCCGCAAUGGACGAAAGUCUGACGGAGCAACGCCGCGUGAGUGAUGAAGGUUUUCGGAUCGUAAAGCUCUGUUGUUAGGGAAGAACAAGUGCGAGAGUAACUGCUCGCACCUUGACGGUACCUAACCAGAAAGCCACGGCUAACUACGUGCCAGCAGCCGCGGUAAUACGUAGGUGGCAAGCGUUGUCCGGAAUUAUUGGGCGUAAAGGGCUCGCAGGCGGUUUCUUAAGUCUGAUGUGAAAGCCCCCGGCUCAACCGGGGAGGGUCAUUGGAAACUGGGAAACUUGAGUGCAGAAGAGGAGAGUGGAAUUCCACGUGUAGCGGUGAAAUGCGUAGAGAUGUGGAGGAACACCAGUGGCGAAGGCGACUCUCUGGUCUGUAACUGACGCUGAGGAG
RNAcentral lists this ribosomal RNA (724 nucleotides) under Bacillus pumilus. RNAcentral describes it as "bacterial SSU rRNA". It matches the Rfam family "Bacterial small subunit ribosomal RNA", at positions 50 to 753 of the family's 1533-position model. The record is from RNAcentral. Lineage: Bacteria; Bacillati; Bacillota; Bacilli; Caryophanales; Bacillaceae.